Molecule: long non-coding RNA, 1701 nt
Filed under: Ananas comosus (pineapple)
Lineage: Eukaryota; Viridiplantae; Streptophyta; Magnoliopsida; Poales; Bromeliaceae
Description: long non-coding RNA (ACOM_LNC029392)
Source: RNAcentral
GAUACGGGGAUCUGUGUGGGGGUUUGUGAGAUAGUGCACUUCAGGUGAGUGGGUUGGUUACUGACCCGUUGGAUCUUCGUAGGUCCGGUCGACUUGUGCGUACCCAGUGUUCCGACGCGACAGUGACAGGUGGGUGCUUCGAGCUGGUAGUCGGUGAGAGCGUUUCACCUCCUUCUCCUGUUUUUUUUCUAUUCCAGUAUUUUAGUCUCUACAUGUCUUUGUUUGCUUAUCUUUCGUAUAUCGUACCUCUUUGAUUGCAUUUGGUUAGUAGUUGAUAGACAUGUAGAGCAGGAUGCAUUUGUAUUUCAGUAUCUCUGUGGACCUUGGGUCCAGGCAACACAUCGACUCUCUUGUCGUGUGUUUCGAUCUGGUUGAUCGAGGUUCGGCGUUGUACGCCCUAGCAUCUAUUUCAGUUCGGCGUUGUACGCCCUAGCUUCUAUUUCAGUUUGGCAUUGUACGCCCUCGUUGUUGGCUUCGGCCUAGGCACCGGCUUUAGCCGGGUUUGUUUUUGUUUGAGCAUACCAGCAUGACUUAGUCACGGCACUUGGGGGUAUUCAUGACACCGGAUCGGUUUGGCCACCGAUCGGAGGUGUACUUAUCCGGAUAGGUCGUCCUGCGGGGCGGAUGGAUCAGGUCGGUGCAGUUAGUGACAGGCAGCGCUUGAGGUCUGCGGACCAAUACAGCAGGCACAGAUUGGGUACAGUUUCUGUUCAGUACUUUGAGGCAUUCUUUGCAUUGUUAUCUAUACAGUAGUAGGUUUGUUUAUUGCUUCUUAUUUAUCUGUUGUAGCUACUGUAGUUCGUUUUCAUAUAUCAGUAUCUAUAUUUGUUUAUCUAUCUCCUUUGGUUUCCGGUGAUUACGGCUUGCCUUCGUGGCUCUGUCGUACCCACUGAGAAAACCAUGGUUGUGGUUUCUCACCCCCCAUCUCCCCAAGUGACUCGGGCUUGGAGUUGGUGUUGGGCACGACGAGAGGACGAUCUAGCUAGUCUGGUAUAGCGAUCGCCACCCUAGUUGUAUUUCUUUUCCGCCUUUAGUAGUCAUUUAAAUAAUGGUUCAGUUAGCUGAUCUUUAUGAUUGUUUGAAUGUUGGUGAUCUGAUUUUGGUAGAUCUGUGGAUGCUUUCGUUAUUUAUGCAUAUGAACUGAGGUUUGUGGAUUUGGAUGUUGAUUCUAUGGAUAUCGGAUUUUCUUCUAUUUACAUAUCGUGGUUUUCUACCUUUCGAGGUAGUUGAUUUUCAAAAUGGAGUUUCCGUGUGGAAAACAGUUUUAAAAAGGUUUUCGAAUAGUUUUUCAUGAUGAAUGAAUUAGAGUUUAAAAAUAAAAGCUUCCGUGUGGGGAGCACUUUUAAAUGGGAUGAUUGUUAUACUGUGCAUUGCAUCAUCCAGCUCCUAAGGAGUGUUUAGAGGCAUGCAUCAUCUCUAAGGAUUGUUAGCUGUAUGAAAAUGCAUAUCAUGAAUUGGUUGUUGAUUGGUAAUUGUAGAUUGUAGUUGAGAUCCUGUUGUAUCGUUGGUACGCCGUGCAAAUACAAAGGAGACUCUGUCCGAGUGGACAGAGGAACUUUGUAUUUGUGGCGGGUCUGUACGUCACGUGGGCCAGGUUGGAAAAAAAAAAAUGGUACAUCUUCCGCGACUCUGAGUUUUAAAAAUGGUAAUGGCUUUUAAAUCGGCCCCGGGGCGUGACAAUGUGUAAGAAAAUCAUGUGUA